UGCUUACGGGGCGCAGCAGUGGGGAAUAUUGCACAAUGGGGGGAACCCUGAUGCAGCGACGCCGCGUGGGUGAAGGAGUAUUUCGGUAUGUAAAGCCCUAUCAGCAGGGAAGAACAAUGACGGUACCUGACUAAGAAGCACCGGCUAAAUACGUGCCAGCAGCCGCGGUAAUACGGAGGAUCCGAGCGUUAUCCGGAUUCAUUGGGUUUAAAGGGUGCGUAGGUUGUUUUAUAAGUUAGCGGUGAAAUACCGAUGCUCAACAUCGGGGCUGCCGCUAAUACUGUAGGACUAGAGAUCGGAUGCAG
This 305-nucleotide ribosomal RNA is filed under the name uncultured bacterium. Its description in RNAcentral is "bacterial SSU rRNA". It matches the Rfam family "Bacterial small subunit ribosomal RNA", at positions 335 to 657 of the family's 1533-position model. The record is from RNAcentral.